AUUGAACGCUGGCGGCAUGCCUUACACAUGCAAGUCGAACGGUAACAGGUGUUCGGAUGCUGACGAGUGGUAAACGGGUGAGUAAUACAUCGGAACGUGCCCGAUCGUGGGGGGUAACGGAGCGCAUGGUUUGAUAAUAGCGCAUACGAGCUACUGCAGACAGCCGGGUAGCGCAAGGCCUUGCGAGGGCGGUGCUGUCGAUGGCAGAUUAGGUAGUUGGUGGGAUAAAAGCUUACCAAGCCAACGAUUUGUAGCGGGUCUGAGAGGACGACCAGCCACACUGGGACUGAGACACGGCCCAGACUCCUACGGGAGGCAGCAGUGGGGAAUUUUGGACAAUGGGCGAAAGCCUGAUCCAGCCAUGCCGCGUGCAGGAUGAAGGCCUUCGGGUUGUAAACUGCUUUUGUACGGAACGAAAAGACUCGUUCUAAUAAAGAGAGUCCAUGACGGUACCGUAAGAAUAAGCACCGGCUAACUACGUG
This 482-nucleotide ribosomal RNA is filed under the name uncultured bacterium. RNAcentral's name for it is "partial 16S ribosomal RNA". It matches the Rfam family "Bacterial small subunit ribosomal RNA", at positions 30 to 507 of the family's 1533-position model. The record is from RNAcentral.